UACGUAGGGUGCGAGCGUUGUCCGGAAUUAUUGGGCGUAAAGGGCUCGUAGGCGGUCUGUUGCGUCGGGAGUGAAAACUCAGGGCUUAACCCCGUGCCUGCUUCCGAUACGGGCAGACUAGAGGUAUGCAGGGGAGAACGGAAUUCCUGGUGUAGCGGUGAAAUGCGCAGAUAUCAGGAGGAACACCGGUGGCGAAGGCGGUUCUCUGGGCAUUACCUGACGCUGAGGAGCGAAAGUGUGGGGAGCGAACAGG
This 253-nucleotide ribosomal RNA is filed under the name uncultured bacterium. RNAcentral's name for it is "partial 16S ribosomal RNA". It matches the Rfam family "Bacterial small subunit ribosomal RNA", at positions 524 to 776 of the family's 1533-position model. The record is from RNAcentral.